This 318-nucleotide long non-coding RNA is filed under the name Homo sapiens (human). Its description in RNAcentral is "HSALNT0115224". The record is from RNAcentral. Lineage: Eukaryota; Metazoa; Chordata; Mammalia; Primates; Hominidae.
GAGAAGUUCUGCACAUGAUAAGAAGGACUUGGGUGAGAAUCACACGGAGGUCCUGACUUACAGUUUUUUUGAAAAGCAAAUCAUUCGCAUAUCUCAGCAAAAGUCCUCAAAGGACAUUCCUGAGUUUCAGUGGGAGGAAAAAUGAGUUGCUUUCUGAGCCCUCUCAGCACCUUUCUGGACUGGUGAAUGUUACAAUAUGCUGUGUUGCUACAACUUUAUCUACAAACUGGGCCCGAGCGUCCGACACAGACUGUUCCUGCACUCACAAAUGACGGUGUAUUCCAGAAGUUCAUUUGUAGAUCUGUCUUUUGUCUGUUU